UACAGAGGUCUCAAGCGUUGUUCGGAUUCAUUGGGCGUAAAGGGUGCGUAGGCGGCCCGGUAAGUCGGGUGUGAAAUCUCGGAGCUUAACUCCGAAACUGCAUUCGAUACUACCGUGCUUGAGGACUGGAGAGGAGACUGGAAUUUACGGUGUAGCGGUGAAAUGCGUAGAUAUCGUAAGGAAGACCAGUGGCGAAGGCGGGUCUCUGGACAGUUCCUGACGCUGAGGCACGAAGGCCAGGGGAGCGAACGGG
RNAcentral lists this ribosomal RNA (253 nucleotides) under uncultured bacterium. RNAcentral's name for it is "partial 16S ribosomal RNA". It matches the Rfam family "Bacterial small subunit ribosomal RNA", at positions 524 to 776 of the family's 1533-position model. The record is from RNAcentral.